RNAcentral lists this long non-coding RNA (966 nucleotides) under Equus caballus (horse). Its description in RNAcentral is "lncRNA (ENSECAG00000051995.1)". Lineage: Eukaryota; Metazoa; Chordata; Mammalia; Perissodactyla; Equidae. The record is from RNAcentral.
UGCAGAGAAUCAGCACAAACCUGGGUCAGUCCAACAGCUCAGGAGCACCUGUGCUUGGGGGAAGGGCGUCCCAGGGAGAUAGAAGUGAGCAAGCAUCCCGGAAAGGGAGGCAUCGGUUCUCCAAAGGUGAAACCACUUUCCACUGACCAGGCAUUAUUUCCAGUUCCCCAGAAGGAGUUCUGGCAUGAAAAAUAAGUCUGUAUCCUGCACUGUGAUGGAUAGCUUCUAAUGGAGGUGGAAACGUCUAAGAGGACUUAAAAGGCAAACUGCCCUGGGAGAGGUAACACACGGACACAAUUUGCUGGCAAUGAGGCAGUAGACUGAAAGUAAGCUGCCCACAAGGUAGGGAGAAAGAAAGGGCAAGGAAGGAGGGCUACGGAACACCACAGAGGGGCAAAGGAACGAGGUCCAGGCCACAGACUUCAGAGAAGAAGAAAAUCUUCUUGUUUUAUGACUUUUCCCAAAGCUAGUCCCACAUCCUGAAAACAGAGGAGGAUGCUGAGAGCUGAAAAACCUUCAUGCCGACAGCAUUCGGAGAAAGGAGUACAACGAAGGCUGGACAGAGAAAUUUUGAUUUCCUGGUCCCUCUGAACUUCUUAAAAUCAGUGAUAACUGAAGUUUGUCAAGACGAUCCCAGCAUGUACUCUGAAAUAGAAAAGCCUCAUUUUUAUCUUGACAAAACCUUCCAAGGUGGCUGUGUUGAUUACCUCACUGUGUGCAGGAGGGGCCUUCAGAUCAACAGAGUUCAAUAACCAAGGCAGGACUUGCAGCUCAUCGCUGGUGGAACAAUGAUUUGAACUGAAGCCUAGCACUCUCCAAAGUCAGAGCUCUUCACCACCAAGCACCACCAAAUCUCCUCAAUGUCUUAAAGAGUGUUCCUCUGUACGGAGGGGACAUGCUAACUGUUAACCAGAGCAUUUGUUGAACAACUAAUGGAAGGAAGGAAGGAAGGAAGAAGGAAGGAAG